RNAcentral lists this ribosomal RNA (336 nucleotides) under uncultured bacterium. RNAcentral's name for it is "partial 16S ribosomal RNA". It matches the Rfam family "Bacterial small subunit ribosomal RNA", at positions 338 to 666 of the family's 1533-position model. The record is from RNAcentral.
CCUACGGGAGGCAGCAGUAGGGAAUCUUCCACAAUGGGCGAAAGCCUGAUGGAGCAACGCCGCGUGGGUGAAGAAGGUCUUCGGAUCGUAAAACCCUGUUGUUAGAGAAGAAAGUGCGUGAGAGUAACUGUUCACGUUUCGACGGUAUGUAACCAGAACGCCACGGCUAACUACGUGCCAGCCGCCGCUGUAAUACGUAGGUGGCAAGCGUUAUCCGGAUUUAUUGGGCGUAAAGGGAACGCAGGUGGUCUUUUAAGUCUGAUGUGAAAGGCUUCGGCUUAACCGGAGUAGUGCAUUGGAUACUGGGAGACUUGAGUGCAGAAGAGGAAGGUGGAA